GAUGAACGCUGGCGGCGUGCCUAAUACAUGCAAGUCGAGCGAACAGACGAGGAGCUUGCUCCUCUGACGUUAGCGGCGGACGGGUGAGUAACACGUGGAUAACCUACCUAUAAGACUGGGAUAACUUCGGGAAACCGGAGCUAAUACCGGAUAAUAUAUUGAACCGCAUGGUUCAAUAGUGAAAGACGGUUUUGCUGUCACUUAUAGAUGGAUCCGCGCCGCAUUAGCUAGUUGGUAAGGUAACGGCUUACCAAGGCAACGAUGCGUAGCCGACCUGAGAGGGUGAUCGGCCCCACUGGAACUGAGACACGGUCCAGACUCCGACGGGAGGCAGCAGUAGGGAAUCUUGCGCAAUGGGCGAAAGCCUGACGGAGCAACGCCGCGUGAGUGAUGAAGGUCUUCGGAUCGUAAAACACUGUUAUUAGGGAAGAACAAAUGUGUAAGUAACUAUGCACGUCUUGACGGUACCUAAGCAGAAAGCCACGGCUAACUACGUG
This 497-nucleotide ribosomal RNA is filed under the name uncultured bacterium. RNAcentral's name for it is "partial 16S ribosomal RNA". It matches the Rfam family "Bacterial small subunit ribosomal RNA", at positions 28 to 507 of the family's 1533-position model. The record is from RNAcentral.